This 863-nucleotide ribosomal RNA is filed under the name uncultured bacterium. Its description in RNAcentral is "bacterial SSU rRNA". It matches the Rfam family "Bacterial small subunit ribosomal RNA", at positions 58 to 916 of the family's 1533-position model. The record is from RNAcentral.
CAAGUCGAACGGCAGCACGGGGGCAACCCUGGUGGCGAGUGGCGAACGGGUGAGUAACGCAUCGGAACGUGCCCAGUAGUGGGGGAUAACCAGUCGAAAGAUUGGCUAAUACCGCAUACGACCUACGGGUGAAAGCGGGGGAUCGCAAGACCUCGCGCUACUGGAGCGGCCGAUGUCUGAUUAGCUAGUUGGUGGGGUAAAGGCUCACCAAGGCGACGAUCAGUAGCUGGUCUGAGAGGACGACCAGCCACACUGGGACUGAGACACGGCCCAGACUCCUACGGGAGGCAGCAGUGGGGAAUUUUGGACAAUGGGCGAAAGCCUGAUCCAGCCAUGCCGCGUGCGGGAAGAAGGCCUUCGGGUUGUAAACCGCUUUUGGCAGGAACGAAACGGUGCCGACAAAUACUCGGCGCUAAUGACGGUACCUGCAGAAUAAGCACCGGCUAACUACGUGCCAGCAGCCGCGGUAAUACGUAGGGUGCAAGCGUUAAUCGGAAUUACUGGGCGUAAAGCGUGCGCAGGCGGCUAUGCAAGACAGGUGUGAAAUCCCCGGGCUCAACCUGGGAACUGCAUUUGUGACUGCAUGGCUAGAGUUUGUCAGAGGGGGGUGGAAUUCCACGUGUAGCAGUGAAAUGCGUAGAGAUGUGGAGGAACACCGAUGGCGAAGGCAGCCCCCUGGGACCUGACUGACGCUCAUGCACGAAAGCGUGGGGGAGCAAACAGGAUUAGAUACCCUGGUAGUCCACGCCCUAAACGAUGUCGACUAGUUGUCGGAGAUUCACUUCUUCGGUAACGCAGCUAACGCGUGAAGUCGACCGCCUGGGGAGUACGGUCGCAAGAUUAAAACUCAAAGGAAUUGACGG